UGGCAAUGCUUCUUUCAUGGAGGUUCUGA
This 29-nucleotide non-coding RNA is filed under the name Mus musculus (house mouse). The record is from RNAcentral. Lineage: Eukaryota; Metazoa; Chordata; Mammalia; Rodentia; Muridae.